GAUGAACGCUGGCGGCGUGCCUAACACAUGCAAGUCGAACGGAAAGGCCCAGCUUGCUGGGUGCUCGAGUGGCGAACGGGUGAGUAACACGUGGGUGAUUUGCCCUUAACUUUGGGAUAAGCUUGGGAAACUGGGUCUAUUCCCGGAUAGGACAAACGUCUAGCGUGGGUGGUGGAAAGAUCUUGCGGUUUGGGAUGAGCCAGCGGCCUAUUAGCUUGUUGGUGGGGUAAUGGCCUACCAAGGCGUCGACGGGUAGCCGGCCUGGGAGGGUGGACGGGCACAUUAGGACUAAGGGACGGCGCAGACUCGAACGGUAGGCAACGGUGGGGAGUAUUACACAGUGAGCGCAAGCCUGAUACAGCGACGCCGCGUGUGUGAAGACGGCCUUCGGGUUGUAAACCGCAGUCGGCAGGUACGAAGCUUUGGUGACGGUACCUAAAGAAGAAGCACCGGCUAACUACGUG
RNAcentral lists this ribosomal RNA (464 nucleotides) under uncultured bacterium. RNAcentral's name for it is "partial 16S ribosomal RNA". It matches the Rfam family "Bacterial small subunit ribosomal RNA", at positions 28 to 507 of the family's 1533-position model. The record is from RNAcentral.